CUGUGUAUGUGUGUGUGUGUAUGUUUGAUGUGUGUGUGUGUUUGUGUUAAAGAUAAAGUGGGAUAAAUGUAAGUUCAUAGAUGAACGUUCAGCGCUCAGGUGCUUAGUGUUCGCUUAAGGCCAGCGGGAUGAUGACUGAUCUCUCCUCCCUAGUGGGCUCAUUAACACCAGAAUAGAACAGGGUCAUUGGGGCCUGUAACCAAUCCCGAGGAAAACUGGCCAUUAGGUGGGAGGACACACUGGAUGGGGUGCCAAGCCAUUGACUUGACUCAUUGUGUGAGUUUGAGAAGUUUUACUCAUCAUGGAGAUGGAAGGUCUAUGAUCGCCAGUCACAUACACAGAUGUCCCUUCUGGCUGCCAUGGAUGCUGCAUGUGAGGAUAUCACCGUGGAAGCCCGCAGAGCCUGGAUUAGACACUCAAG
Molecule: long non-coding RNA, 421 nt
Organism: Clarias gariepinus (North African catfish)
Lineage: Eukaryota; Metazoa; Chordata; Actinopteri; Siluriformes; Clariidae
Exons: 3
Source: RefSeq, a predicted model, not a curated record